UGGGGGAUAACGUCCGGAAACGGACGCUAAUACCGCAUACGUCCUACGGGAGAAAGCAGGGGACCUUCGGGCCUUGCGCUAUCAGAUGAGCCUAGGUCGGAUUAGCUAGUUGGUGGGGUAAUGGCUCACCAAGGCGACGAUCCGUAACUGGUCUGAGAGGAUGAUCAGUCACACUGGAACUGAGACACGGUCCAGACUCCUACGGGAGGCAGCAGUGGGGAAUAUUGGACAAUGGGCGAAAGCCUGAUCCAGCCAUGCCGCGUGUGUGAAGAAGGUCUUCGGAUUGUAAAGCACUUUAAGUUGGGAGGAAGGGCAGUAAAUUAAUACUUUGCUGUUUUGACGUUACCGACAGAAUAAGCACCGGCUAACUCUGUGCCAGCAGCCGCGGUAAUACAGAGGGUGCAAGCGUUAAUCGGAAUUACUGGGCGUAAAGCGCGCGUAGGUGGUUCGUUAAGUUGGAUGUGAAAUCCCCGGGCUCAACCUGGGAACUGCAUUCAAAACUGACGAGCUAGAGUAUGGUAGAGGGUGGUGGAAUUUCCUGUGUAGCGGUGAAAUGCGUA
Molecule: ribosomal RNA, 560 nt
Filed under: Pseudomonas sp.
Lineage: Bacteria; Pseudomonadati; Pseudomonadota; Gammaproteobacteria; Pseudomonadales; Pseudomonadaceae
Also listed under: 13 other names
Description: bacterial SSU rRNA
Rfam family: Bacterial small subunit ribosomal RNA
Source: RNAcentral